ACAAACUAUAUAAUACAUGUCUAAAAAUUAACAUAUCUUAUACUUUUAUAUAUACAAUAAUAAAUUAUCUAAAAUGAAUAAGCAUAAAAAUAUUGAUAAAAAGAAAUCCAGUUUUGAAAUACGGGUCAGAAUUUAGCAUAAAUUAAAUACAAAAUAUUUUUUAAAUAUAUUUUCUCAUGAAUAUAUUAAUUUGCUUAAUAACUAAAUGCAAAUACAAUAAGAUAAAUAUAUAAUAAG
RNAcentral lists this long non-coding RNA (237 nucleotides) under Brassica rapa (field mustard). RNAcentral describes it as "long non-coding RNA (BRAP_LNC000263)". The record is from RNAcentral. Lineage: Eukaryota; Viridiplantae; Streptophyta; Magnoliopsida; Brassicales; Brassicaceae.